UACGUAGGUGGCGAGCGUUGUCCGGAAUUAUUGGGCGUAAAGGGUGCGUAGGCGGUAGUUUAAGUGGGGCGUGAAAUCCCCGGGCUUAACCCGGGAGCUGCGCUCCAAACUGGACUACUCGAGUGCAGGAGAGGAAAGCGGAAUUCCCAGUGUAGCGGUGAAAUGCGUAGAGAUUGGGAGGAACACCAGUGGCGAAGGCGGCUUUCUGGACUGUAACUGACGCUGAGGCACGAAAGCGUGGGGAGCAAACAGG
This 253-nucleotide ribosomal RNA is filed under the name uncultured bacterium. RNAcentral describes it as "partial 16S ribosomal RNA". It matches the Rfam family "Bacterial small subunit ribosomal RNA", at positions 524 to 776 of the family's 1533-position model. The record is from RNAcentral.